GACGGAGGAUGCAAGCGUUAUCCGGAAUUAUUGGGCGUAAAGCGUCCGCAGGUGGCACUUCAAGUCUGUCGUCAAAGACUGGGGCUUAACCCUGGAAAGGCGGUGGAAACUGAAGCGCUAGAGUGUGGUAGGGGUAGAGGGAAUUCCCGGUGUAGCGGUGGAAUGCGUAGAGAUCCGGAAGAACACCAGUGGCGAAGGCGGCCCGCUGGGCAGUGGCUGACGCUGAAGCGCGACAGCGUGGGGAGCAAACAGG
RNAcentral lists this ribosomal RNA (253 nucleotides) under uncultured bacterium. Its description in RNAcentral is "partial 16S ribosomal RNA". It matches the Rfam family "Bacterial small subunit ribosomal RNA", at positions 524 to 776 of the family's 1533-position model. The record is from RNAcentral.